This 406-nucleotide ribosomal RNA is filed under the name uncultured bacterium. RNAcentral's name for it is "partial 16S ribosomal RNA". It matches the Rfam family "Bacterial small subunit ribosomal RNA", at positions 30 to 526 of the family's 1533-position model. The record is from RNAcentral.
AUUGAACGCUGGCGGCAGGCCUAACACAUGCAAGUCGAACGAGUGGCGGACGGGUGAGUAAUGUCUGGGAAACUGCCUGAUGGAGGGGGAUAACUACUGGAAACGGUAGCUAAUACCGCAUACCAUCGGAUGUGCCCAUAUGGGAUUAGAUAGUAGGUGGGGUAACGGCUCACCUAGGCGACGAUCCCUAGAUGGUCUGAGAGGAUGACCAGCACAACUGGAACUGAGCAACGGUCCAGACUCCUACGGGAGGCAGCAGUGGGGAAUAUUGCACAAUGGGCGCAAGCCUGAUGCAGCCAUGCCGCGUGUGUGAAGAAGGCCUUCGGGUUGUAAAGCACUUUCAGCGGGGAGGCGUUACCCGCAGAAGAAGCACCGGCUAACUCCGUGCCAGCCGCCGCGGUAAUUC